This 75-nucleotide transfer RNA is filed under the name Bacillus cereus. RNAcentral describes it as "tRNA-Asn". It matches the Rfam family "tRNA". Rfam says of the family: Transfer RNA (tRNA) molecules are approximately 80 nucleotides in length. RNAcentral also lists the same sequence under 5 other names. Lineage: Bacteria; Bacillati; Bacillota; Bacilli; Caryophanales; Bacillaceae. The record is from RNAcentral.
UGCCCAAUAGCUCAGAGGUAGAGCGGUCGGCUGUUAACCGGCUUGUCGUAGGUUCGAUCCCUACUUGGGCAGCCA